Acanthosepion pharaonis is the source of this 104-nucleotide non-coding RNA. NCBI's taxonomy places the organism in Eukaryota, Metazoa, Mollusca, Cephalopoda, Sepiida, Sepiidae. The record is from the annotation of a GenBank genome assembly.
CCACAUCAUGUCAAAACACCAGUUCUCGUAUGAUCACUGAAGUUAAACAAUGUUGAGCCUGGUCAGUAUCUGGAUGUGUGACCAUUUGCGAAUACCAUGUGCUA